This 1325-nucleotide ribosomal RNA is filed under the name Pseudomyrmex particeps. RNAcentral's name for it is "large subunit ribosomal RNA". Lineage: Eukaryota; Metazoa; Arthropoda; Insecta; Hymenoptera; Formicidae. The record is from RNAcentral.
UUUGAGUAAUUAAAUUUUUUACUUAUGUUGAAAUAGUUAAUUUUAUGGUUAAUUUAAAUCUAUAAUAAUUUUUGAUUGUUCAGUAAUAAAAUUAAUUGAAUUAUUUAUUUUAUAUAAAUUUAAUGUAAAUGAAUAUUUUUAUAAUUAUUUAAGUUUAAUUUUUUUUUAGUACCUUUUGUAUCAGGGUUUAUUAAAUUGAUUAUAUUAUUUUUAAUUGUCUCGAAAAUGUACGAGCUACGAGAUUAUGUAAGUUAAUGUUUUAUUAUUAUUUAUAAUUUUUUUGUGGUAGAGAUAUUCUAUUAGUGUACAUUGAUAUCUAGUUUUUACCGAUACUAAUUUAAUUAGAGAUUUUGAUGUGAGUAAUAGUUUUUUCUUUAUACUAUUAAAAAUAAUAUCUUUUUCUUACAUAUUGAGGGAUUACCUUCAGCAUUUAUUAAAAAUUUUUUUUAUUUUAAUGUAAAAUUAUAGAUAAUAUUUUUAAUAUUUAGUAAAAAUUUAAUAAUUUAUUAAUAUUUAUUUAAUUGUUUUUUAUUAAUUGUAAUUUAAUUUUAUUUUUAAUUUUUUAGGUAAAUUAAUUAUUUAAUUAAAAUUUAAUUGAAAUAAUGAUAUAAUAAGUAUAAUAAUAUUUUUGUUAUGUUUUAUAAAAUUUUAUUUGUUUAUAUAAUAGAUUUAUGAACUAGGCAAAUUUAGGUCCAACUGUUUAUCAAAGACAUAUCCUUUAGAAUUAUAAUUUAAGGUGUUCCCUGCUCAAUGAUAUUUUUAAAUAGCCGCAGUAAUAUGACUGUGCUAAGGUAGCAUAAUAAUUUGCCUCUUAAUUAGAGGCUUGAAUGAAUGGGUUAAUGAGACCUUAACUUUAUUAAUUUAUUUUAUUAGAAUUUAAUAUUUAAGUUAAAAUUCUUAAAUUGAUCCAGGGGACGAGAAGACCCUAUAGAAUUUAAUAAUAUUAAUUUAUUUAUUAUAAUUAUUUUAUUUAAAAUAAAUUAUAUUAUUUAAUUGGGAGGAUUUCUAAAUUAAUUAAACUUUAGAUUUAUAAAUAACAAUUGAUUAUUGGAUUUAUGAUUAUGUUUUAUAUAUAUGAGAAUUAAUUACCUUAGGGAUAACAGCGUAAUACUUUUGGUUAGUUCAUAUAUAUAUAAGUGGUUGCGACCUCGAUGUUGAAUUAAGAUUGAGUUAUAAGUAGAAUUAUAAUUUUAAAGUCUGUUCGACUUUUUUAUCUUACAUGAUUUGAGUUCAGAUCGGCGUGAGCCAGAUCGGUUUCUAUCCUUGGAAGUAUUUUAAACAGUUUUUGUACGAGAGGACUUAAUUGUUUUAAUUUAUUAAACUUU